This 426-nucleotide ribosomal RNA is filed under the name uncultured bacterium. RNAcentral describes it as "partial 16S ribosomal RNA". It matches the Rfam family "Bacterial small subunit ribosomal RNA", at positions 355 to 774 of the family's 1533-position model. The record is from RNAcentral.
UGGGGAAUAUUGCACAAUGGGCGCAAGCCUGAUGCAGCCAUGCCGCGUGUGUGAAGAAGGCCUUCGGGUUGUAAGCACUUUCAGCGAGGAGGAAGGUGGUGAGCUUAAUACGCUUAUCAAUUGACGUUACUCGCAGAAGAAGCACCGGCUAACUCCGUGCCAGCAGCCGCGGUAAUACGGAGGGUGCAAGCGUUAAUCGGAAUUACUGGGCGUAAAGCGCACGCAGGCGGUUUGUUAAGUCAGAUGUGAAAUCCCCGGGCUCAACCUGGGAACUGCAUUUGAAACUGGCAAGCUAGAGUCUCGUAGAGGGGGGUAGAAUUCCAGGUGUAGCGGUGAAAUGCGUAGAGAUCUGGAGGAAUACCGGUGGCGAAGGCGGCCCCCUGGACGAAGACUGACGCUCAGGUGCGAAAGCGUGGGGAGCAAACA